Molecule: ribosomal RNA, 769 nt
Filed under: uncultured bacterium
Lineage: Bacteria
Description: bacterial SSU rRNA
Rfam family: Bacterial small subunit ribosomal RNA
Source: RNAcentral
AUUGAACGCUGGCGGCAUGCCUUACACAUGCAAGUCGAGCGGCAGCGCGGGGGCAACCCUGGCGGCGAGCGGCGAACGGGUGAGUAAUACAUCGGAACGUGCCCAGUAGUGGGGGAUAACCUCUCGAAAGAGAGGCUAAUACCGCAUACGACCUACGGGUGAAAGCGGGGGACCGCAAGGCCUCGCGCUAUUGGAGCGGCCGAUGUCGGAUUAGCUAGUUGGCGGGGUAAAGGCCCACCAAGGCGACGAUCCGUAGCUGGUCUGAGAGGACGACCAGCCACACUGGAACUGAGACACGGUCCCAGACUCCUACGGGAGGCAGCAGUGGGGAAUUUUGGACAAUGGGCGCAAGCCUGAUCCAGCCAUGCCGCGUGAGUGAAGAAGGCCUCGGGUUGUAAAGCUCUUUCGGCGGGACGAAACGGUCCGUGCCAACACCACGGACUAAUGACGGUACCCGCAGAAGAAGCACCGGCUAACUACGUGCCAGCAGCCGCGGUAAUACGUAGGGUGCAGGCGUUAAUCGGAAUUACUGGGCGUAAAGCGUGCGUAGGCGGUUUGUUAAGACAGGUGUGAAAUCCCCGGGCUUAACCUGGGAACUGCGCUUGUUACUGCAGACUUGAGUGUGGCAGAGGGGGGUGGAAUUCCACGUGUAGCAGUGAAAUGCGUAGAGAUGUGGAGGAACACCGAUGGCCGAAGGCAGCCCCUGGGCUAACACUGACGCUGAUGCACGAAAGCGUGGGGAGCAAACAGGAUUAGAUACCCUGGUAGU